UCCUAUGAGAAAAUGCUUGCGGGAAAGACUUGCCCACGCAAGCAUCGCACGUUGUGUGCGUGACCAUACGCACGAGGCCAGCACUGGAUGUGCACACUGUGCACAUGUCCCAUCCAUGUGGGGUUUAAGACCAGCACAGGAGUGCGUACUGUGCGCACGUCCUAUCCGCGCGGGCAAAAGAUCGAUCUACGUGCGCAUCCCAUCGUGUGCAUGUAGGCCAGUAUGCACAUGGACAAGGCCAGACAUUGGGCGCCCUAUGCAUGCACCGUCUUUAUAGUAGGCCUAUGUAGAUAGGCCUGCGCGUGGUAGGAUAAGCUGGC
This 320-nucleotide long non-coding RNA is filed under the name Carica papaya (papaya). RNAcentral describes it as "long non-coding RNA (CPAP_LNC009431)". Lineage: Eukaryota; Viridiplantae; Streptophyta; Magnoliopsida; Brassicales; Caricaceae. The record is from RNAcentral.